Molecule: non-coding RNA, 189 nt
Organism: Vicia faba (fava bean)
Lineage: Eukaryota; Viridiplantae; Streptophyta; Magnoliopsida; Fabales; Fabaceae
Source: the annotation of a GenBank genome assembly
AUGUUUCGUCUCAUCGGCGGUUGGUUCAAGCGAUUUCGUCGUUGCUGGUGGUCUUGUUCUUCAAGCGUCGGUGAUAGAUUUUGGGUAGACAUGGAAGAAAAUCGAGGUUCUGGAUUGGAUCUGAGUUACCUUUAUCAUUUCAAACAAUUUCAAAUCUGGUUUUACAGUAUAUGGGUCUUUUGUUACUAG